RNAcentral lists this ribosomal RNA (359 nucleotides) under uncultured eukaryote. RNAcentral's name for it is "LSU rRNA". It matches the Rfam family "Bacterial large subunit ribosomal RNA", at positions 2120 to 2479 of the family's 2925-position model. The record is from RNAcentral.
CUCUCAGCCUAUCUUGCGCAGCUUAGGUGGGAGGCUAUGAACCUAAUCCUCCGGGAUUAGGGGAGCCAUCAGUGAGAUACCACUCUUGGUAAGCUAGAGCGCUCAGUCUUUACCGUUAUCCGGUAAGACGACAGUUUCAGGCGGGCAGUUUGACUGGGGCAGUCACCUCCCAAAAGGUAAUGGAGGUGUGCAAAGGUUCCCUCAGGCUGGACGGAAAUCAGCCAUAGAGUGUAAAAGCAAAAGGGAGCUUGACUGCGAGACUGACAUGUCAAGCAGAGACGAAAGUCGGCUUUAGUGAUCCGACGGUGCUGCGUGGAAAGGCCGUCGCUCAACGGAUAAAAGUUACUCUAGGGAUAACA